RNAcentral lists this unclassified non-coding RNA (271 nucleotides) under uncultured Rickettsia sp. Lineage: Bacteria; Pseudomonadati; Pseudomonadota; Alphaproteobacteria; Rickettsiales; Rickettsiaceae. The record is from RNAcentral.
UUAUAGGGAGGAAUUUGAAUGAGACACGGAACACAGAACCGUAGCGUACACUUAGUACGUGAGGAUUUGAGUACCGGAUCGACGUACAAAUUACCCCUAGAAGUAGGGUUUUCGAAUAGGUCUAAUGUAGUAUCAACUCACAAAGUUAUCAGGUUUAUAUACAGCUUUAUCAACUAAUAAAGAUGUUGUUGCAUGACUAAUGUCAUAUCAUGGCUUGACCACGGUAUCCAGUAAAAAUUAUUUUGCUGAGUAUCGUAGUAAAAGUUAGGAU